GGCAUGUUGCCAGAGUGGUUAAUGGGUAAGACUUGAAUGAAUUAAUUCGGUUAUCUUAUGGUUUCGGCCUCGUAGGUUCAAAUCCUGCACAUGUCG
Molecule: transfer RNA, 96 nt
Organism: Sclerotinia sclerotiorum
Lineage: Eukaryota; Fungi; Ascomycota; Leotiomycetes; Helotiales; Sclerotiniaceae
Rfam family: tRNA
About the family: Transfer RNA (tRNA) molecules are approximately 80 nucleotides in length. Their secondary structure includes four short double-helical elements and three loops (D, anti-codon, and T loops). Further hydrogen bonds mediate the characteristic L-shaped molecular structure. tRNAs have two regions of fundamental functional importance: the anti-codon, which is responsible for specific mRNA codon recognition, and the 3' end, to which the tRNAs corresponding amino acid is attached (by aminoacyl-tRNA synthetases). tRNAs cope with the degeneracy of the genetic code in two manners: having more than one tRNA (with a specific anti-codon) for a particular amino acid; and 'wobble' base-pairing, i.e. permitting non-standard base-pairing at the 3rd anti-codon position.
Source: Rfam